Molecule: ribosomal RNA, 253 nt
Filed under: uncultured bacterium
Lineage: Bacteria
Description: partial 16S ribosomal RNA
Rfam family: Bacterial small subunit ribosomal RNA
Source: RNAcentral
UACGAAGGGGGCUAGCGUUGCUCGGAAUCACUGGGCGUAAAGCGCACGUAGGCGGAUUGCUAAGUCAGGGGUGAAAUCCUGGAGCUCAACUCCAGAACUGCCUUCGAUACUGGCGAUCUUGAGUCCGGAAGAGGUGAGUGGAACUCCUAGUGUAGAGGUGGAAUUCGUAGAUAUUAGGAAGAACACCAGUGGCGAAGGCGGCUCACUGGGCCGAUACUGACGCUGAGGAGCGAAAGCGUGGGGAGCGAACAGG